GAGUGACGUUUGGGUUCUUUGAUUACAACGACAUUUGGGUAUGACAAGUCAACCACCACGUUAGAAUAACUCAGCCGUAACAUCAAAUAAUCUAUUAUAAGUCAGCCAUUAUGGUAGAAUAACUCGGCCAUCACACGAUUUGUGCGGUGACAAGUCAGCCACCAGAAUAACUAUGCCAAAUGAUGAUAGGUUUUUAGUCAAUUAUCCUAAAACACCAAUCAUGUCAUUGUAGUAUUUUAGGUUGUCAAUCCAAAUGGGUGUGAUGCUAGCAAUCAAGAUACAAUCAGAGUUCACAGAGUUAAGCCAAGCAAUAAGAGGUUUUCGGGUGUUCUAGCAGUCCUAAGUGAACAAGCAGGAAACAGAAAUUCAAGCAGAACAGUAAAAACACUCGACCAACACAGCUUGUUGCCAAGCACUGGAUGUGGUCGAGUGACAGGUCGAGUAAUAGACAGAAAAUGUUACAGGGAUACUCGGCUGCACAGUCUGUUGCCAGACAACUUGGUGGGCGAGUAUCAGGUCGAGUAACAGGCAGAAAAUACAAAAACUAAACAACAGGCAGCGAGGUGCAGUAAACAAUAGCGGAGUAAACAAAGAAAUCAAUUAGAUAAAGAAUUCCCGAGGAUGGGGUAAUUGAGUAGUUUCGUUUCUUCAGUUUACAGAUGAUUGACAUGCUCAAUAAAUUAUCCCUAGACAACAAGUUCGAUAACCAAAUCUAAGUGCCACCGCAACAGAGACCCUCAAGUUAAACCAGUCCCAGACUCAAUCACCAUUGAUGAGAGCUAACCAAACAUGCAUUACGAACCAACAAGUUAAAGCCAAAACGCUCCCUGCAACCAAUACCUUAGUACAGAGCCACGAAUCUCUGGAAUUAGUGGUUCAGACAUUUCAUCGAACACCUUUUGGGUGCAGAUAUGUCUGGGCUCAAAUUCCAGUUGAUCAGAAAGCAAUAGGCAUUAAGAACAACUAAUCUAGAAAGGAUCUAUAAAUCAAACUCAACCACCUAGCGUAUUGACAAUUCUAAACUACUCUCAACAGUUUGAUACAUCUAGCGGAUUUGGAUUUCUUUAACAACUAAGAUUCCUGUUUUUUUU
This 1091-nucleotide small RNA is filed under the name Arabidopsis thaliana (thale cress). Its description in RNAcentral is "ATSL157710". The record is from RNAcentral. Lineage: Eukaryota; Viridiplantae; Streptophyta; Magnoliopsida; Brassicales; Brassicaceae.